AGGGAGACGACUCGUAGAAGAAUUCCCCGCGGGUAUUGAUUUACACGCACCCGCCAGGCUGGACGAACUGAUACACACGGCCAACAGGCGCACGCGCCCUGUUCCAGACCGAUGCCCAGCCAACACACACCGGUCAAAUCAACCGAGUUGUGCCGUGGUGUCGCUUGAUUGGUGGCAGAGGACCAUCGUUUGGUGAAGGAAGCUGUGAAGAAACGCAGCCACGUUAGCUGCUGCCCACCACUAGAAGCGCUGCACGCUGACAGAAGAUCAUCACGGUAACCACGGGCGUGACGUGUUGUCACGGCGGCUGCAAAGGCGGGAGCAGGAGUGACGUUGCAGGAGCACGUGGUGGCCGGUCUGCUAACACUGCGCUGCCACUACCGUCCGUCUCCUCCACAAAUCACAGCUACUGUACUGCACUGAUGAUAUGUAACACAUGUGUGCUAUGUGCUCUACUGCUCGUCCAUCCAUCCGUCCAUCCAUGCAGCCAGGCUCCAUGUCUGACAUUGACUCACUGAUCACCCGACAGGCAAAAUAUCCCACGGACGUGCCAGCAAAAGUAGUACGCACAGACAUUCCUUCUGCUCCUCGUCCUGAAAUGUGCAUUCGCUGUGAAAGAGAGAACUCGGCGGACUGAGCAUUAGACGUCAAUUCAAUGUUUGAAUCCGGCUGUCUUCUGUGAUUUGGCUCACACGAAGAGUAGAUUUUCACGUGGUGCUUUUCCAGAAAAAACACAUCCGGUAUAUAAUUAAAUCAUAGAUCUGGACUAAAAUGCUUUAAUACUUCAUAUUUCCUUUUAAAAGUCAGUGUGGAAAACCCAAAACAUUAAGACAAGUCAAUGUUAAAUUCCUGAGGUAACACAGAAAAAAACGAGUGCCCUUUACAUCUGUAUCCAAUAUUCACUCUACUGUGCAGUAUGUAAAAGCUGUAAAAGUUAUGUCCUCCCUGUUGAUUGAAAUGGUCUCGUUACAGCGGCGUGACUCUUCAAAGUUAGAUUUUAUGACGUUAAUGUGUGCCCCCGCAUAACUCUCAUUGGUCUGAAACUGUGUGUGUGUGUGUGUUUUGACUCUGACUCCGCUUCUGUGCAGGGAUCUGUGUUUGUGUUCAGUGAAGUCUGUAUAAUUAGGAGCAAAGGCAUCUGUAUUAACAUGCUGCUGCCAGUCUGCAUCACUAUGCUGCCAGAGGAGUUACAGCAACAGCAGGGGCCAACAAAAAAAAAGAAACCCAAAGUGUGCGUGUUGUUUUGGUGAUAUGAGUCAAGAACCGGGACAACUAAGAUCCAAGAGGAAGAGGAAGGUGGAGAUGAAGAGGAGGGAGCAGUGAUGGCAACGACGGUGAUGGCGACCAAAUGGCGUCAGUUAGGCAGUAACUGUAAGAGUAACGAAGGAGAGACAGAGGUCAAUUAUCCAAUAAUCAUUAUCUUCCCAACCACAGGGUUCAUAAAUCAAAAGCCAAUGAAGGUCUUCUUAUUUCGCCAUGUGUUAGCCACCAAACCCAUUGCACUCUUUACCCCAGUCCAGGCAGAAAUCCAUCACCACGUGAUGAGUCUCGAGCGGGGGAGCUGAUUUGCAAGGGACAGAAAUAGACACUCAGCAACAUUACUAAGAAUUUGAGACGUGGAAUCCGGCACGAUAUAAAUCAGUCGUCAGCUGAUCAUCCCGAUCAGUGGACUGGCCUUGCAAUCAGCUUUAAAAAAAACGAAAAGAAGGAAAGCCUACCAUUACUGAAAGGCACAGCACGGAGCUGCUGAGACCCGGUCAGACAGGCUCGGGAGGAGCAAUAGUUGAGAAG
Gasterosteus aculeatus aculeatus (three-spined stickleback) is the source of this 1791-nucleotide long non-coding RNA. The record is from Ensembl. Lineage: Eukaryota; Metazoa; Chordata; Actinopteri; Perciformes; Gasterosteidae.